CCCCUUUUAAAAGCACUUUUGCUAAUGACCCACUGAGCUGUCAAAAAAGGGCAAGUAAAAACACCGCUUUUGGGUGAAGCAGCAGCUGUUGAAUUGUUUUGCUUCAAUCUGUGAAGAGGUGUUA
This is a small nucleolar RNA of Pipistrellus kuhlii (Kuhl's pipistrelle), 124 nucleotides long. The record is from RefSeq and is a predicted model, not a curated record. NCBI's taxonomy places the organism in Eukaryota, Metazoa, Chordata, Mammalia, Chiroptera, Vespertilionidae.